CUUCUUCUGUGGGUUUGAUGGCGGGACUACAACCCAAAAUUGUCUAUUGCCGCCACCAACUGGACGGGUUGAAACCAAAACAAGGAGCACAAAAAAAUCUAAGCCAGCCCGCCUCUCGUGAUCCUAACAGACUUCACUCUACCCAGCCGACUAAAAACGAGGGCUCAGGGGCUUACGUUGCAAACUUCCCUUGCUUGGCUAAUCAUUUGGACCACCCUCCAAGAUGGCGACGGGGAUUCCCCCAAGGGCAUAAGGUUAGAUCAACAACAGGAUCUGGGAGUAACCAUGGAGGAACAUCCCCUAUCAACACAGAAGGGCCAAUCUCCAACUCCCUCAAACCCCUCUCAUCAACAAGCUUUCCAACUGUCCAACCAAAACCACUGCCUUGUCUACUAGUAUAUUCCCAACAGUCGUCUAGAGCAGUAGCAGUGGGAUUCUCAACCUCACAGCCUUUCAACCUAACCCAAUAAGCGAAUGACAAUUUGUUACGCCGUAUAUCCAAAGGCAUCUCACCUGCCUUCACUAGUAAGGCAUAUACAGAUGUUAAUUUAAAUGCACCAAUACAUAUCCUUUAAGCUGUAUAUUGGAUUCUGUCCAGCCUCUGAAGCCAAGUUUUCGCCGCUGUUCCAUAAACUAUACACCCGUAAUCAAUUGUCGUCCUGAUCAGAGCUCUAUAAAUAUCAAUCAACAAUUGUCUGUCCCCAUUCAUAACCAGAGACUGAGCGCAUAAGAUUCACCACCACCUUACACUUUGUUUCAACAUUUAUGACAUGAUCUUUCCAUGUAUAUCGCUCAUUGAAUCAUAGACCCAAAUAUUUAUACUUAGAAACCCUCCUCAUAGGCUGUCCAUACAGAAACAACUGUAUAUUAUGACAUGAUCUUUCCCUGUAUAUCGCUCAUUGAAUCAUAGACCCAAAUAUUUAUACUUAGAAACCCUCCUCAUAGGCUGUCCAUACAGAAACAACUGUAUAUUAUGACAUGAUCUUUCCCUGUAUAUCGCUCAUUGAAUCAUAGACCCAAAUAUUUAUACUUAGAAACCCUCCUCAUAGGCUGUCCAUACAGAAACAACUGUAUAUUAUGACAUGAUCUUUCCCUGUAUAUCGCUCAUUGAAUCAUAGACCCAAAUAUUUAUACUUAGAAACCCUCCUCAUAGGCUGUCCAUACAGAAACAACUGUAUAUUAUCACAAUCAGCAACUUUCUUCUUCGAGAAGAACAUACAACAAGACUUCGCCACCGACAAUUCAAAACCCCAGUUAAUCGACCAUCUUUCAACAUCCACUAUAGCUUCUCUUCCAAAUGUACUAUCUUCUUCUUUGAGUUUUUUAUUGGCGGAUCACAACCAACUGACAGGUGCAUACACCGCCACCUACUGUACUGGAGUGUGAGGCCGGUCACCAGCUGUCUAUACCACAAUAUUCUCUUAAUUAACCCUGAAUUUCGAACACAGGAGGUUGGUGACAAAUACAUCAAUUUGAUGCCAUUCUAUUCCAGCUAUUAUUAUGAGCCAUCCUCCCCUCAGCAGCUUCCUGUGAUUUCGAACAAAAUGCAAAAAUUCCCUACAAACCUCACUAUUCCCAAAAUACCACCCAAUCCCCAUUCCCUUCUGACCCUGUCAAACAACCUCUCCCUUUCUGCAUCAUACAUUUCACAAAAUAGUAAUACAUCUUCAACCGUUUCCUCUACCAUGCAGCCAUUACACAUUCCAGUACCAUGGUAACCUAUCAAUCUCAAAGAGGAAUUCAAUCCCGAUCCCGUAUGCCCUAAUCUCAUCCUAGACAACAUAACUUCCUCCCUUCUGUUUCCAUUUCAUGACACUCUAUCCCAUUCAGAUUAUUGUACUAUCAAAAUGUCUGCCAAAAUGUUUAUCCCAUUGUCUCUGCCAACAAUCUAACCCAUUUUUCAGAAUCUGUUUUCAUUUCCCCUCUACCCACCUGCACCUGUUUAGAGUGCCACAGUAUGAGUCAUAAUACCCGUAAAACUUAGCUGUCAAAAAAGGAAAUUCUAAUUGUUUUUCUACAAUACAUCUUUCCAAUACGGGAUUUUAGAAACACUUGAAAUAAGGGCUGUGUUUCAUGUAGGCUUACCCUGGUGUGACGUUUUGAUAACCGUGUAAACCUCUCUAAGACAAGGUGACUUAUCAAUAUAUUCGGGCUCUAUAUCCACAAUAUUAUUUUCCACAGCUUUUUUUUGCUAUUAUAACUACCAUAUUAUUUCCAUUAACUCCUGUAUGAACCGCAAUCCAAUAGAACUGAAUUUCAAUACAAUUUCUUUGUAAACCGAACAAUAGCAUCACCACGUCUAAACAUAAAUCCUCACGUUCUGACUUUCCAGAUCUUAAACUACACAGCCUAGUAUCUUCUUCAUCGGUGCUGACGUGCAUGGCUAGAUACUUAGCGCUGCCUGCAGGGUGGAGGGUGGCUGCUGCACACACUGUACUGUUGAGAGCCAGCACGUGUCAAGUGAGUGCUGCAUGGUUGACAUUCAUGAAGCCAGCUAACUAACUCGUAAAUUAUUAGGUUACUCCUGUGUACUUUUUGUAAGUUAACAAAAUUGCAUCCAAUUGCAAAAGAGUAGAGAAGUCAUAUUUUGAAGAGCAACUUGAACAUGUAUUUGAGCAAAUUCAGUGAUGAGUUCAAUUACUGUUGUUGUUUACUGUUUGGCUAUGGAGGAUGAUGAUCGUUCAUGGCCUUGGCUGUCACCCAGUUGGUCACCAGUCUGAGUUGUUGUUGAUGAGAAUUGACUGGCAGUUCCAGUAGAGCAUACUUUUGGUCAUGUAGGGUAUGUGGACACAUGCUCAUCGAACAUUUCAUAGAGCUGGUCCCUCCUUUGCUGUUUUAACACCCUCCUCUCUUCUUGGAAGGCUUUCCGCUAGAUGUUGGAACAUUGCUGUGGGGACUUGCUUCCAUUAAGCCACAAAAGCAUUAGUGAGGUGGGGCACUGAUGUUUGGCGAUUAGGCCUGGCUCGCAGUUGGCGUUCCAAUUCAUCCCAAAGGUGUUCGAUGGAGUUGAGGUCAAAUCAAAGCACAUUUUUAUUGGUCACAUACACAUGGUUAGCAGAUGUUAAUGCGAGUGUAGCGAAAUGCUUGUAAUAAGCUGGGAGCAACAAAAUUGAGUCAUGGUCAGAUUUGCCGAAGGGAGGGCAGGGGAGGUACUUUGUAUGCAUCGCGGAAGUUAGAGUAGCAAUGGUUGAGAAUGCUACCAGCCUGUGUCACGCAUUCGAUAUGCUGAUAGAAUUUAGGAAGCCUUGUUCUCAGAUUAGCUUUGUUAAAAUCCCCAGCUACAAUAAAUACAGCCUCAGGAUAUGUGGUUUCCAGUUUACAUGGAGUCCAGUGAAGUUCUUUCAGGGCCGUCGAGGUGUCUGCUUGGGGGGGAUAUACACGGCUGUGACUAUAAUCAAAGAUAAUUAUUUUAGUAGAUAAUGCGGUAGGCAUUUGAUUGUAAGGAAUUCUAGGUCAGGUGAUCAAAAGGACUGAAGUUCCUGUAUGUUGUUAUGAUCACACCAUGAGUCGUUAAUCAUAAGGCAUACACCCCCACUCUUCUUCUUACCAGAUAGUUGUUUGUUUCUGUCGGCGCGAUGCGUGAAGAAACCUGGUGGCUGUACCGACUCUGACAACAUAUCCCAAGUGAGCCAUGUUUCCGUGUAACAGAGAAUGUUACAAUCUCUGAUGUCUCUCUGGAAGGCAACUCGUGCCCUAAUUUCAUCCACCUUGUUGUCUAGAGAUUGGACAUUGGCGAGUAAUAUGCUCGGAAGCGGUGUAUGGUGUGCUCGCCUUCUUAGUCUGACCAGUAGGUAGUACCGUCUACCUCUCCUGCGGCGACCGCGUUGUUUUGGGUCGGCCUCUGGGAUAAGAUCCCACACGGUGUAAGUAGGCACACCACAAUGCUAUUACACUCCAACUUAGCUCAGGUGCAUCCAAUUUCCUUUGAUCAUCCUUAAGAUGUCGCUACAACUUGGUUAGAGUUCUCCUUUGGCCAAUUAAAUUGUUUGGACAUAAUUUAGAAAGAAACACACCUGUCUAUAUAAAGUCCCACAGUUGACAGUGCAUGUCAGAGCAGAAACUAUACAAUCAAGUCCAAGGAACUGUCCGUAGAUCUCCAUGAUAGGCAUAUAUCUGGGAAGGGUAUAAAACAAUUUCUAGAGUGAUGAAAGUUUCCAAGAGUACAAUGGUCUCCUUCAUUUGGAAAUGGAAAAAAAAUGGAACUACCCAAACUCUGCCUAGAUCUGGUCGUCCAACCAAACUGAGCAAUCGGGCAAGAAAGACCUUGGUUAGGGAGAUGAUCAAGAACCCACUGACCACUCUGACAGAACUGCAGAGUUCCUUGGCUGAGAUGGUAGAACCUGCCAGAAGGACAACAGUCUCUACAGCACUUCACUAAUCUGGGCUUUAUGGGAGAGUGGCCAUAAUAUUCUGUGGUCUGAUGAAGCAAAAAUGUAACUAUUUGGCCUGAAUGCAAAGCUCUAUGUCGGGAGAAAACCAGGCACAGCGCAUCACCCAUCUAACAUCAUCCCUACCAUGAAGCAUGAUGGUGGCAGCAGCAUGGUCUGGGAAAACAUUUAUUUAACUAGGCAAGUCAGUUAAGAACAAAUUCUUAUUUACAAUGAUGGUCUACCAAAAGGCCUCCUGCGGGGAUGGGGGCUGGGAUUAAAAAUAUAGGACAAAACACACAUCACGACAAGAGACACCACAACACUACAUAAAAAGAGAGACCUAAAGACAACAACAUAGCAUGGUAGCAACACAACAUGGCAGCACCACAACAUGGUAGCAGCACAAAACAUGCUACAAACAUUAUUGGGCACAGACAACAGCACAAAGGCAAGAAGGUAGAGACAACAAUACAUCAGGCGAAGCAGCCACAACUGUCAGUAAGAGUGUCCAUGAUUGACUCUUUGAAUGAAGAGAUGGAGAUAAAACUGUCCAGUUUGAAUGUUUUUUGCAGCUAGUUCCAGUCACUAGCUGCAGCGAACUGAAAAGAGGAUGUGGGACCCAGGGAUGUGUGUGCUUUGGGGACCUUUAGCAGAAUGUGACUGGCAGAAUGGAUAGAGGGAAAAAUGAAUGGUGCCAAGUACAGGCAGAUCCUUGAUGAGAACCUGCUUCAGAGUGCGAACGACCUUAGACUGGGUGAAGAUUUUACGUUCCAACAAGACAAUGACCCCAAGCAUACAGCCAAAGCAACACUGGAGUAACUUCAGAACAAGAAUGUCAAAGUCCUUGAGUGGCCCAGCCAAAGCACAGACUUAAAUCUCAUAAAAAAUCUGUGGAAGGACUUGAAGAUUGCUGUUCACCGCUGCUCCCCAUCUAGCUUAGCAGAGCUUGAGAAAAUCUUCAAGGAAGAAUUGGAGAAAAUAGCCAAAUCCAGAUGUGCAAAGCUGAUAUAGACAUACCCAAGACGACUCAAAGCUGUAAUCGCUGCCAAAGGUGCUUCUACAAAGUAUUGACUCAGGAGUGUAAGUGAGAUAUUUCUGUAUUUCAUUUUCAAUACAUUUGCAAAAAUGUCUUAACAUGUUUGCACUUUGUUAUUAUGAGGUAUUGUAUGUAGAUGUGUGAGAAAAACAUAUAUUUAAUCAACUUUGAAUUUAGGCUGUAACACAACUAAAUGUGGAAUACGGGUAUAUGAAUACAUUCUGAAAGCACUAUCUUUGACUGCAAAACUAAAUAAAAUAAAAUGACCAUCAAUAGUUGUAUUUUUCUUUUUUCUAAACUUUGUGCAAAAAUCAAAUGGGGGAACAAUGCACACAAUGGGGCUUAAGCUUUUUUUUCCGGAUGUAAUGAAUGGGUAGGGCCAGGCGUUAGAUUUUUUUGUAUUUUAAUCAUGUGACCUCGAGACCAAUAUAGCGUCUUCUCACAUCACGUGUGAAUUAAUUGCCACGUGUUCAUACCAUGAUCAUCUAACCUAAUUAUCCAAUUAGUUCAAAAUAAAUGUUGAACCAUGUGGAUUGACUUCAAAUGAAAUGCUUAUCUUAAGGACAUUAUCAAAAAAACAUUUUAACGUAUUGUCUGUUAUCAACAUUAUAUGGGAAUAAUAACCAUUUUAUCUAAGAAAAUGUAGCCUCUUUCCAUACAAAGUUACCAUUUUCAUUCGCUAUCCGUGUAAAAGCAUAAAUGAAGUGCAUUCCUUAAUACACAUGUGAAGAACAGAGGCGCAGUCUGGUCAAAAAGACAGAAGGCAUCUCCAUAAUAACAGACGAAUCCACUGACACAAAAUACCAAUAUGUUCUAUAUAUUUUGUAGGAGAGCUGGGUGAAGACGUUCAAGUUGUUCUGGCUGAUACAGUGUAUUUACAGGCAGUGAACUAUUUCAACAGUAGCAGAAUAUCAUUCUGAGUACCUGCGCUUUUAUGCGAGUUUUGUGGAGGCAGAGAAGCAUAUCUCUCCAAAUAAUGUAGUCUAACAGAGUGUGAGAAAUUGCCGGGUGGUUAUUUCUAUAGCGAAUGAAAAUAGGCUAGCAAUUUAUGUUCUGAGAAUAGUCUACAUUUCCCUCUCUACAUUUUCUUAUAUAAAAAGGCUUAUCAAUAAUGUUUGUACCAUGUUUUGUGCUGCUACCAUUUUGUGCUCUUGCAUGUUGUUGCUACCAUGUUUUGUCAUGUUGUGUUGCUACCUUGCUGUGUUGUCACGUGUUGCUGCCAUUCUAUGUUGUUGUCUUAGGUCUCUCUUGUCGUGAUGUGUGUUUUGUUCUAUCUUUUUGAAAUCUUUUUUUUUAUCCCAGCCCUUGUCCCCGCAGAAGGCCUUUUGCAUUUUGGUAGGCUGUUGUUGUAAAUAAAAAUUUGUUCUUAACUGUCUUGCCUAAUGAAAUAAAGGUUUAAUAAAUGAAUAAUACCCAUAUGUUAAGAACAGAAAAUGAA
Molecule: long non-coding RNA, 6844 nt
Organism: Salvelinus fontinalis (brook trout)
Lineage: Eukaryota; Metazoa; Chordata; Actinopteri; Salmoniformes; Salmonidae
Exons: 3
Source: RefSeq, a predicted model, not a curated record